AGGACGAACGUUGGCGGCGUGCUUACACAUGCAAGUCUGCGAGAAAGUAUAGCAAUAUAGCGAGUAAAGCGGCGAAAGGGUGCGUAACGCGUAAGCAACUUGCCCAUAGGAUGGGGAUAACGUCGAGAAAUCGGCGCUAAUACCCAAUAAUGCAGCGGCAUCGCAUGAUGAUGUUGUUAAAGGUCGCUUCGGUGGCGCCUAUGGAUGGGCUUGCGUCUGAUUAGUUAGUUGGCGAGGUAACGGCUCACCAAGACGACGAUCAGUAGCUGGUCUGAGAGGAUGAUCAGCCACACUGGAACUGAGACACGGUCCAGACUCCUACGGGAGGCAGCAGUGAGGAAUAUUGGGCAAUGCCCGCAAGGGUGACCCAGCAACGCCGCGUGGAGGACGACAGCCGUAAGGUUGUAAACUCCUGUUCGGGGGGACGAAUAACCGUCGUUUGCAAAGGCGACGGCUUGACGGUACCCUCAGAGAAAGCCCCGGCUAACUACGUGCCAGCAGCCGCGGUAAUUACGUAGGGGGCAAACGUUGUCNCGGAUUUACUGGGUGUAAAGGGCGCGCAGGCGGGUCGGUCAAUCAGAGGUGAAAGCCCACAGCUUAACUGUGGAACUGCCUUUGAUACUGCCGAUCUUGAGUGCGGGAGAGAGAAGCGGAAUUCCAGGUGUAGUGGUGAAAUACGUAGAUAUCUGGAAGAACACCGGUUGCGAAGGCGGCUUCUUGGACCGACACUGACGCUGAGGCGCGAAAGCGUGGGGAGCGAACAGGAUUAGAUACCCUGGUAGUCCACGCUGUAAACGAUGAAUGUUAGAUGUCGGGGGAUUUUUCCUUCGGCGUCAAAGUUAACGCAUUAAACAUUCCACCUGGGAAGUACGAUCGCAAGGUUGAAACUCAAAGGAAUUGACGGGGGCCCGCACAAGCAGUGGAGCAUGUGGUUUAAUUCGAUGCAACGCGAAGAACCUUACCUAGGCUUGAAAUGUGUUCGAUCGGUCGUGAAAGCGACCUUCCUUCGGGCGGACACACAGGUGCUGCAUGGCUGUCGUCAGCUCGUGCCGCGAGGUGUUGGGUUAAGUCCCGCAACGAGCGCAA
This 1086-nucleotide ribosomal RNA is filed under the name uncultured organism. RNAcentral's name for it is "bacterial SSU rRNA". It matches the Rfam family "Bacterial small subunit ribosomal RNA", at positions 26 to 1101 of the family's 1533-position model. The record is from RNAcentral.